UACGGAAUGUGCAAACGUUAUUCGGAAUCACUGGGCUUAAAGAGUCCGUAGGCGGCAUGUUAGGUGAGGUGUGAAAUCCCCCGGCUCAACCGAGGAAUUGCGCUUCAAACCGGCGUGCUAGAGGAAGAUAGAGGUGGGCGGAACUGAUGGUGGAGCGGUGGAAUGCAUAGAGAUCUAUCGGAACGCCAAAAGUGAAGACAGUCGACUGGGCCUUUCCUGACGCUGAGGCACGAAAGCGUGGGUAGCAAACCGG
RNAcentral lists this ribosomal RNA (253 nucleotides) under uncultured bacterium. RNAcentral's name for it is "partial 16S ribosomal RNA". It matches the Rfam family "Bacterial small subunit ribosomal RNA", at positions 524 to 776 of the family's 1533-position model. The record is from RNAcentral.